Molecule: microRNA precursor, 103 nt
Filed under: Marmota monax (woodchuck)
Lineage: Eukaryota; Metazoa; Chordata; Mammalia; Rodentia; Sciuridae
Source: RNAcentral
AAUGAAAUAACUGGGUCAAAUGGUGGUUCCAUUCCACAUUUUCUAAGGAAUCUCCAUACUGCUUUCUAGAGUCGUUGCACCAGUUUGCAGUCUCACCAGCAAU